This is a long non-coding RNA of Numida meleagris (helmeted guineafowl), 723 nucleotides long. RefSeq lists it as uncharacterized. The transcript has 4 exons. Lineage: Eukaryota; Metazoa; Chordata; Aves; Galliformes; Numididae. The record is from RefSeq and is a predicted model, not a curated record.
CCUGUGGCCCUCCUCUGGGCCCAUUCCAAAAGCUUCACAUCUUUCUUGUCAAACCUGGAUGUAGUCCUCCAGAUGGUGCUGCACAAGGACAGAGCAGAGGUGGACAAUUACCUCCAUCACCUGACCGGCCACCCCUCUUUCUGAUGCAGCCCAGUUUACAGUUGGCCCUCUGGGCUGCAAGGACACACUGCUGGCUCACAUCAAGCACAGGAACUCAAUUUCUUCUGGAUGAAACUGAACUGGAAGCUAGUCAUUUUGAGCACACUGACAUCCUUGGAGGCAGUCACAAAUAUAAAGAUGAACACUUCAGAAAAGUCAUAAUGCCUGUAAAAUGUUUUCAACCACUGCUAACAGUGGACUGCUGCUACCUGGACUGCCUUGUCCUCAUGUUAAUGAUGCUGUUUCAGUGACAUUCCAAAAGGUAUUCAAAGUAAUCAGAAGGACUAGGAAGAGGAUGCUGUAGAUGGAUUUCAAUUUACUGAUCCCCCUGAAGUACAGCUAAACUAGAGAUACAUUUCUGAGCAAUUUCAGCCUGAAAGAAACACAAGGAUCCGAUGAUCUGAGAAAGAAGACCUGAAAAAUAUCUGUUCAUCACACCACCAGAAUAUUCAACCAAAUACACAGAGACUACGAAGCAUGCAGGCUAAGGCCUACAGAAGCUGAAUGAAAGCUAGUCAUAGACUAGCUUAGACUGAAAAAUUAUUUGAAAACUUAAAAUUUGGA